AGAUAAGUAUUUAAAUAUAUAAAACCUAAUUUGCACUUAGAAAUUGUCCUACACCUUAUCUA
This 62-nucleotide transfer RNA is filed under the name Microdiplogynium sp. XFX. Its description in RNAcentral is "tRNA-Ala". The record is from RNAcentral. Lineage: Eukaryota; Metazoa; Arthropoda; Arachnida; Mesostigmata; Diplogyniidae.